GCACGAAGCUCUAGGAAGAUGUUCUGUGAUUGGUUGAUUAUGACAAUGACAAAAGAAUAAGCUAUUGAAUGGAUUUUCUAAAGAACGAAGCAAGAACAAUAUUCCUUUUGUUUAUGUAAGCCAAUUACGUCUUUUGUCAUUGUCAUAAUCAACCAGUCACAGAACAUCUUCCUAGAACUUCGUCUUUACUGCCAGAAUUAACAGUACACGACUUCAACAUUAAGCUCGACCUUCGGUCUCGCUCAAUAUUUAAGUCUCCACUCCAUUUUGACAUAUUGGGCUCAGUAGAAUCCAAUAUAUUUUAUUAUAAUAUAGUCAUCCACCGUAUACGAGCUAUAUAUUUAGCAAUCUAAUUGGUCGAGUUACUCGCCGUAUAUCAGCUCAUGUACGGCGAGUAGCGAAACACAAGAUGGCGGAAAAAAAACGACAAGAGUUUUGCG
Non-coding RNA from Paramuricea clavata, 440 nucleotides. The record is from the annotation of a GenBank genome assembly. Lineage: Eukaryota; Metazoa; Cnidaria; Anthozoa; Malacalcyonacea; Plexauridae.